AGCCUCGAGCUCAGGGUUGGAUCUUUCGGCUGGUAACCGAAGAGUUGUUGGUUCAAAUCCAAUCUGAGCCUU
This is a transfer RNA of 72 nucleotides. The stretch from base 8 to 71 matches the Rfam family "tRNA". Rfam says of the family: Transfer RNA (tRNA) molecules are approximately 80 nucleotides in length. Their secondary structure includes four short double-helical elements and three loops (D, anti-codon, and T loops).